GUGUGCUGUCCUUAGGUUAGUUAGGUUUAAGUAGUUCUAAGUUCUAGGGGACUGAUGACCGUAGCUGUUAAGUCCCAUAGUGCUCAGAGCCAUUAUAUCUUGUUGGUUGUGAAUCCUUCCAGCAGGGAAAGUGAUCCUAACCAUUCAUAAUACCCCUAUCCAUUUAUGAAAAUGAAAGACUCAUUUUGCUGGAUACAAGACGUAUUGGCUGUGGCACAAGAUGGGCAAAGAAACAUGGAAGGUAUGAAGAGCUUGCUGUUGCAAAAUGUUUCAAUGGGAAAAGAGUGGGUGUGCGUUCAGAGCAGUAAAUUGAUGAUUACCAGUUACAUGAUAUUAAGAACAGUCUAUGAGGCUCUCAUGAGGAAGCCAGUCAGUCUAACAAGGCAGUAUGCCACCGAUCUUUAUCACAGUACUACCUGCUAGGAUAAAGGACCUAUAAAUUUGUAGUGUAUCAAUCUUAUUGAAUCACAUUUUAGUAAACUACAUGCAUGCACUGGUAGGAUACUGAUGUAACCAAUGUAGUGAGAUUUUAAUUGUAAGUGACAUGCCAACCACAUAUCUUUUAGCCUUUGUGUCAUUUUGCAUCAAGUGGCCCUCUUCAAAGUUAAUGAAAUUUGUGUAGAAUGUACCUAAGCAACCUGCAAGACCUUCUCCCACGUUCGAGCUCUUAUCAGCCACUGACUGUUGCAGUUUUUUAAAUAAUUGCAUCAUUCACUUUGCAAAGCCUUUUUCUUAUCUCUCGAACAAUUUUUUUGAAAUUAAAGUUAUUUUCCAGUAGCUGAUAAAUAUUUGUGAAGAUAUGAAUACAAGUUUAUCCCACUAGCUUCUUCUCGAUGUUUCUGCAUGGUGGUCAGAGUUUUUGGCCUGCUUUUUAUCAGACUUUCACACAUUGUAGGUGUUUUGCCAUUCCGAUAUCGGUUAGGUGCAGACAUUUGUGUAUUGCAUGAUACUUUUUGUCAAACAAUGCAAGAUUUCAUACAUAUGUGACAGUAGUGCUUCUUGUUGAAAGCAUGCCAGAGAGUCUUCAUCCAACGGCAAGCUACUAUUUUUCUGAAUGUAGAAAUGUAUGCAAAGACAGGCUGUACUCCUUGCAAAAGACCUUCACCCCUACCUAUUCUUGUCUUCAGUACUGUUAAAAACACAAUGGAUUCCACUUCCACUUGCAGCAACCGGACUUUUAUUGAUUACAUAGGUAGUUACUUGCCAGGCUUUGUAGAUUAUGUAGUUCCUUUGUUUAAUCUGUUUAUCUGUUGACAGUAUGAAGAUGACCACUGGGAGGUCAAAACCAAUUACGACACUGAAACGCCAAUGUGAUUGUGUCCAAAAGCACAAUCAGCCACACAAUGGAUUCCACUUCCACUUGCAGCAACCGGACUUUUAUUGAUUACAUAGAUUAUCUGGUUCAUGGCUUAUUCGUGCCGCAUCUGAGUUCACGCAGACACUGGCCACCACUGCCAGCUACUACCCGUCUAGUAGACAUCCCGAAUAUGUUUGAAAAUACAAGUUGACACUAUGGCUCAAAAUUGGCACUGGAGCAAAGACGACUUGCAGCAAGCCUGAUGAAAUUGUAUGGUUCAAUGACUUUUGUCCGUUCAAAGUAUAGAAUGUGAUUUGCACAUGAGUCACCAAGCUGUUUAACACUGUACCACAUCUACACGAAGUUUGUGAAUGCUAGAUCAGUAGCUAACAACUAUCGAGGCAAUGCAGGACAUCCAAAACCAGGAAGAUAUGAACAAAGCAUCACUGUUGUACAGGACGCAGUGUUGCAGAGUCCCUCAAAAUCAGGAUACAAUGCAGUUUCAAAACAGAAAUUCCUCAAAAACAGUGAAAUUUAACCUUGGGAUGGGACCAUGCCACAUCCAAGCUUCAACAUUGGUGCAGAAAUGUAAGCAGGUGGAAUGUUGUCUUUUUUUUAACUGAACUGAUGAAUAUGUGGCAAGAUAUUCUGAAUGUAACAGCAUUCAGCAAUUAAGCCACUUUUCACACAAGGGGUUUGUGAACCAACAUAACACAAUUUUGUGGGCCACCACAAACCCACGCGCCAUUCUGGGUCAUGACUCCCCCAAAGCGAAUGUAAGGUGUGUGCUGUGAUUGCAGCUGGACCCUACUUUUUUAUACGUGAACAGUAACUUCUGACAUCUGUUUAGAGAUGCAUACCAUUGAUGAACUACUACUGUUUCAAACAAGAUGACAUUCCACUGCAUCUCGAUGCGAUGUUCUCACACUGGUUGAUUGGUCAUCAGUGACCACUGUGCUGGCCUCCACAAACUCCUGAGUUAACACCAUAUUAUUUCUGGUAAUGGGCAUAUUUAAAGUAGGAAAGUUCAUGACAUAAGUUACCUAAAGGACCAUAUACUGGUUGUGGUAUCAUCCAUUCAGAGUGAAAUGUGUGUACAGAUUUUAAAUGUUAAUCGCUGAUUUUCAAGUGUUGAAUGUGAUGGUGAACUGACUGAAUUUGGUGGUACUUAGCACUUUCAGCAUAUCAUUUAACACAUUCGAUAUAUU
Molecule: long non-coding RNA, 2505 nt
Organism: Schistocerca americana (American grasshopper)
Lineage: Eukaryota; Metazoa; Arthropoda; Insecta; Orthoptera; Acrididae
Exons: 3
Source: RefSeq, a predicted model, not a curated record